AUGGUGGAGGUGGAGACUUAUAAUAGUAAGGUGGAGGAGGGGAAUUCUUUGGAGGAGGUGGAGAUGUGUAUUGGUAUGGAGGUGGUGGUGACGGGGAUGGUGGAGGAGGAGACUUGUAAGAGUACGGUGGAGGGGGAGACUUUUUAGGUGGUGGAGGUGAGGCGUAGUGGUAUGGAGGAGGAGGGGAUUUCUUUGGAGGAGGUGGAGAUGUGUAUUGGUAUGGAGGUGGUGGUGACGGGGAUGGUGGAGGAGGAGACUUGUAAGAGUACGGUGCAGGGGGAGACUUUUUAGGUGGUGGAGGUGAGGCGUAGUGGUAUGGAGGAGGAGGGGAUUUCUUUGGAGGAGGUGGAGAUGUGUAUUGGUAUGGAGGUGGUGGUGACGGGGAUGGUGGAGGUGGAGACUUAUAAUAGUAAGGUGGAGGAGGGGAAUUCUUUGGAGGAGGUGGAGAUGUGUAUUGGUAUGGAGGUGGUGGUGACGGGGAUGGUGGAGGAGGAGACUUGUAAGAGUACGGUGGAGGGGGAGACUUUUUAGGUGGUGGAGGUGAGGUGUAGUGGUAUGGAGGAGGAGGGGAUUUCUUUGGAGGAGGUGGAGAUGUGUAUUGGUAUGGAGGUGGUGGUGACGGGUAUGGUGGAGGUGGAGACUUGUAAUAGUACGGUGAAGGGGGAGACUUUUUAGGUGGUGGAGGUGAGGUGUAGUGGUAUGGAGGAGGAGGGGAUUUCUUUGGAGGAGGUGGAGAUGUGUAUUGGUAUGGAGGUGGUGGUGACGGGGAUGGUGGAGGAGGAGACUUGUAAUAGUACGGUGGAGGGGGAGACUUUUUAGGUGGUGGAGGUGAGGCGUAGUGGUAUGGAGGAGGAGGAGAUUUCUUUGGAGGAGGUGGAGAUGUGUAGUGGUAUGGAGGUG
RNAcentral lists this long non-coding RNA (900 nucleotides) under Populus trichocarpa (black cottonwood). RNAcentral's name for it is "long non-coding RNA (PTRI_LNC001068)". The record is from RNAcentral. Lineage: Eukaryota; Viridiplantae; Streptophyta; Magnoliopsida; Malpighiales; Salicaceae.